RNAcentral lists this ribosomal RNA (1536 nucleotides) under Klebsiella quasipneumoniae. Its description in RNAcentral is "bacterial SSU rRNA". It matches the Rfam family "Bacterial small subunit ribosomal RNA". The record is from RNAcentral. Lineage: Bacteria; Pseudomonadati; Pseudomonadota; Gammaproteobacteria; Enterobacterales; Enterobacteriaceae.
UUGAAGAGUUUGAUCAUGGCUCAGAUUGAACGCUGGCGGCAGGCCUAACACAUGCAAGUCGAGCGGUAGCACAGAGAGCUUGCUCUCGGGUGACGAGCGGCGGACGGGUGAGUAAUGUCUGGGAAACUGCCUGAUGGAGGGGGAUAACUACUGGAAACGGUAGCUAAUACCGCAUAACGUCGCAAGACCAAAGUGGGGGACCUUCGGGCCUCAUGCCAUCAGAUGUGCCCAGAUGGGAUUAGCUAGUAGGUGGGGUAACGGCUCACCUAGGCGACGAUCCCUAGCUGGUCUGAGAGGAUGACCAGCCACACUGGAACUGAGACACGGUCCAGACUCCUACGGGAGGCAGCAGUGGGGAAUAUUGCACAAUGGGCGCAAGCCUGAUGCAGCCAUGCCGCGUGUGUGAAGAAGGCCUUCGGGUUGUAAAGCACUUUCAGCGGGGAGGAAGGCGAUAAGGUUAAUAACCUUGUUGAUUGACGUUACCCGCAGAAGAAGCACCGGCUAACUCCGUGCCAGCAGCCGCGGUAAUACGGAGGGUGCAAGCGUUAAUCGGAAUUACUGGGCGUAAAGCGCACGCAGGCGGUCUGUCAAGUCGGAUGUGAAAUCCCCGGGCUCAACCUGGGAACUGCAUUCGAAACUGGCAGGCUAGAGUCUUGUAGAGGGGGGUAGAAUUCCAGGUGUAGCGGUGAAAUGCGUAGAGAUCUGGAGGAAUACCGGUGGCGAAGGCGGCCCCCUGGACAAAGACUGACGCUCAGGUGCGAAAGCGUGGGGAGCAAACAGGAUUAGAUACCCUGGUAGUCCACGCCGUAAACGAUGUCGAUUUGGAGGUUGUGCCCUUGAGGCGUGGCUUCCGGAGCUAACGCGUUAAAUCGACCGCCUGGGGAGUACGGCCGCAAGGUUAAAACUCAAAUGAAUUGACGGGGGCCCGCACAAGCGGUGGAGCAUGUGGUUUAAUUCGAUGCAACGCGAAGAACCUUACCUGGUCUUGACAUCCACAGAACUUAGCAGAGAUGCUUUGGUGCCUUCGGGAACUGUGAGACAGGUGCUGCAUGGCUGUCGUCAGCUCGUGUUGUGAAAUGUUGGGUUAAGUCCCGCAACGAGCGCAACCCUUAUCCUUUGUUGCCAGCGGUUAGGCCGGGAACUCAAAGGAGACUGCCAGUGAUAAACUGGAGGAAGGUGGGGAUGACGUCAAGUCAUCAUGGCCCUUACGACCAGGGCUACACACGUGCUACAAUGGCAUAUACAAAGAGAAGCGACCUCGCGAGAGCAAGCGGACCUCAUAAAGUAUGUCGUAGUCCGGAUUGGAGUCUGCAACUCGACUCCAUGAAGUCGGAAUCGCUAGUAAUCGUAGAUCAGAAUGCUACGGUGAAUACGUUCCCGGGCCUUGUACACACCGCCCGUCACACCAUGGGAGUGGGUUGCAAAAGAAGUAGGUAGCUUAACCUUCGGGAGGGCGCUUACCACUUUGUGAUUCAUGACUGGGGUGAAGUCGUAACAAGGUAACCGUAGGGGAACCUGCGGUUGGAUCACCUCCUU